GACGAACGCUGGCGGCGUGCUUAACACAUGCAAGUCGAACGCUGAAGCUCAGCUUUUGUUGGGUGGAUGAGUGGCGAACGGGUGAGUAACACGUGAGUAACCUGCCUCCUUCUUUGGGAUAACGCCCGGAAACGGGUGCUAAUACUGGAUAUUCACUGGUCUUCGCAUGGGGGUUGGUGGAAAGGGUUUUUCUGGUGGGGGAUGGGCUCGCGGCCUAUCUGCUUGUUGGUGGGGUGAUGGCCUACCAAGGCUUUGACGGGUAGCCGGCCUGAGAGGGUGACCUGGAACAGAGAGACGGAGCAGCGGCCCAGACGAGGACGGGGGGCAGAAGUGGGGAAAAUGGGAGAAUGGGUGAAAGACUGAUGCAGCGUCGGCGAGGGAGGGAUGGGGGCCUUCAAGUUGUGAACCUCGUUCACAAAAGGUGAAGCCGCAACAAUGGUUGUGGUGAGGGUAGUGAGUAAAGAAGCGCCGGCUAACUACGUG
Molecule: ribosomal RNA, 483 nt
Filed under: uncultured bacterium
Lineage: Bacteria
Description: partial 16S ribosomal RNA
Rfam family: Bacterial small subunit ribosomal RNA
Source: RNAcentral